GACGAACGCUGGCGGCGUGCUUAACACAUGCAAGUCCAACGGAAAGGCCCUGCUUUUGUGGGGUGCUCCAGUGGCCAACGGGUGAGUAACACCUGAGUAACCUGCCCUUGACUUUGGGAUAACUUCCGGAAACUGGGGCUAAUACCGGAUAGGAGCUCCUGCUGCAUGGUGGGGGUUGGAAAGUUUCGGCGGUUGGGGAUGGACUCGCGGCUUAUCAGCUUGUUGGUGGGGUAGUGGCUUACCAAGGCUUUGACGGGUAGCCGGCCUGAGAGGGUGACCGGCCACAUUGGGACUGAGAUACGGCCCAGACUCCUACGGGAGGCAGCAGUGGGGAAUAUUGCACAAUGGGCGGAAGCCUGAUGCAGCAACGCCGCGUGCGGGAUGACGGCCUUCGGGUUGUAAACCGCUUUCGCCUGUGACGAAGCGUGAGUGACGGUAAUGAGUAAAGAAGCACCGGCUAACUACGUGCCAGCAGCCGCGGUGAUACGUAGGGUGCGAGCGUUGUCCGGAUUUAUUGGGCGUAAAGGGCUCGUAGGUGGUUGAUCGCGUCGGAAGUGUAAUCUUGGGGCUUAACCCUGAGCGUGCUUUCGAUACGGGUUGACUUGAGGAAGGUAGGGGAGAAUGGAAUUCCUGGUGGAGCGGUGGAAUGCGCAGAUAUCAGGAGGAACACCAGUGGCGAAGGCGGUUCUCUGGGCCUUUCCUGACGCUGAGGAGCGAAAGCGUGGGGAGCGAACAGGCUUAGAUACCCUGGUAGUCCACGCUGUAAACGGUGGGUACUAGGUGUGGGGUCCAUUCCACGGGUUCCGUGCCGUAGCUAACGCUUUAAGUACCCCGCCUGGGGAGUACGGCCGCAAGGCUAAAACUCAAAGGAAUUGACGGGGCCCCGCACAAGCGGCGGAGCAUGCGGAUUAAUUCGAUGCAACGCGUAGAACCUUACCUGGGUUUGACAUGGAUCGGGAGUGCUCAGAGAUGGGUGUGCCUCUUUUGGGGUCGGUUCACAGGUGGUGCAUGGCUGUCGUCAGCUCGUGUCGUGAGAUGUUGGGUUAAGUCCCGCAACGAGCGCAACCCUUGUUCACUGUUGCCAGCACGUUAUGGUGGGGACUCAGUGGAGACCGCCGGGGUCAACUCGGAGGAAGGUGGGGAUGACGUCAAGUCAUCAUGCCCCUUAUGUCCAGGGCUUCACGCAUGCUACAAUGGCUGGUACAGAGAGUGGCGAGCCUGUGAGGGUGAGCGAAUCUCGGAAAGCCGGUCUCAGUUCGGAUUGGGGUCUGCAACUCGACCUCAUGAAGUCGGAGUCGCUAGUAAUCGCAGAUCAGCAACGCUGCGGUGAAUACGUUUCCGGG
This 1343-nucleotide ribosomal RNA is filed under the name uncultured bacterium. Its description in RNAcentral is "16S ribosomal RNA". It matches the Rfam family "Bacterial small subunit ribosomal RNA", at positions 28 to 1378 of the family's 1533-position model. The record is from RNAcentral.